This 253-nucleotide ribosomal RNA is filed under the name uncultured bacterium. RNAcentral describes it as "partial 16S ribosomal RNA". It matches the Rfam family "Bacterial small subunit ribosomal RNA", at positions 524 to 776 of the family's 1533-position model. The record is from RNAcentral.
UACGAAGGGGGCUAGCGUUGUUCGGAAUUACUGGGCGUAAAGCGCACGUAGGCGGAUUUGUAAGUCAGGGGUGAAAUCCCGGGGCUCAACCUCGGAACUGCCUUUGAUACUGCAAGUCUUGAGUCCGGAAGAGGUGAGUGGAAUUCCUAGUGUAGAGGUGAAAUUCGUAGAUAUUAGGAAGAACACCAGUGGCGAAGGCGGCUCACUGGUCCGGUACUGACGCUGAGGUGCGAAAGCGUGGGGAGCGAACAGG